Actinia tenebrosa (Australian red waratah sea anemone) is the source of this 403-nucleotide long non-coding RNA. Lineage: Eukaryota; Metazoa; Cnidaria; Anthozoa; Actiniaria; Actiniidae. The record is from RefSeq and is a predicted model, not a curated record.
GAAAGUUGUUUUAGGAAUUACAACGGCGCGUGACCAGACUUAGAUGAUGUCGAGGAAAGACAAUGAUUUACCGAAGUGACUUCAGGCCCCGUUCAAUGAGUGUCUACUGUACCGGCCCUUGGCGUAACCGGCCGUGGCACGAGAACUAUGGUUGGAAAGCAAAAUAAAUGAAGACAAGACAAGACAAGACCGAAAUCAAAUUUUAAAGCACUUGUCAUUGCUAAGGCACCACCGCAAGUACAGCAGUGGCGCAGCUCAACAGGGUCGAACUGAACUCAUGUGAAAACAACACCGAAAUCAUCCUUAUUCGACGACAAUGUAUAAUGUAAAAGAAAAUACAAUGAAGAAUGUGAGAUGAAUCAGAUUUCUAAAUUUAUGUAAAUUCGUUUGGAAUUCAAAGUAA